UACGGAGGGAGCUAGCGUUGUUCGGAAUUACUGGGCGUAAAGCGCACGUAGGCGGCUUACUAAGUCAGGGGUGAAAUCCUGGAGCUCAACUCCAGAACUGCCUUUGAUACUGGUGAGCUUGAGUCCGGAAGAGGUGAGUGGAACUGCGAGUGUAGAGGUGAAAUUCGUAGAUAUUCGCAAGAACACCAGUGGCGAAGGCGGCUCACUGGUCCGGUACUGACGCUGAGGUGCGAAAGCGUGGGGAGCAAACAGG
RNAcentral lists this ribosomal RNA (253 nucleotides) under uncultured bacterium. Its description in RNAcentral is "partial 16S ribosomal RNA". It matches the Rfam family "Bacterial small subunit ribosomal RNA", at positions 524 to 776 of the family's 1533-position model. The record is from RNAcentral.